RNAcentral lists this ribosomal RNA (495 nucleotides) under uncultured bacterium. RNAcentral's name for it is "partial 16S ribosomal RNA". It matches the Rfam family "Bacterial small subunit ribosomal RNA", at positions 28 to 507 of the family's 1533-position model. The record is from RNAcentral.
GACGAACGCUGGCGGCGUGCCUAAUACAUGCAAGUAGAACGCUGAAGGAGGAGCUUGCUCUUCUGGAUGAGUUGCGAACGGGUGAGUAACGCGUAGGUAACCUGCCUGGUAGCGGGGGAUAACUAUUGGAAACGAUAGCUAAUACCGCAUAAAAUUGAUUAUUGCAUGAUAGUCAAUUAAAAGGUGCAAUUGCAUCACUACCAGAUGGCCCUGCGUUGUAUUAGCUAGUUGGUGAGGUAACGGCUCACCAAGGCAACGAUACAUAGCCGACCUGAGAGGGUGAUCGGCCACACUGGGACUGAGACACGGCCCAGACUCCUACGGGAGGCAGCAGUAGGGAAUCUUCGGCAAUGGACGGAAGUCUGACCGAGCAACGCCGCGUGAGUGAAGAAGGUUUUCGGAUCGUAAAGCUCUGUUGUAAGAGAAGAACGAGUGUGAGAGUGGAAAGUUCACACUGUGACGGUAUCUUACCAGAAAGGGACGGCUAACUACGUG